RNAcentral lists this non-coding RNA (205 nucleotides) under Candidatus Acutalibacter pullistercoris. RNAcentral describes it as "6S RNA". It matches the Rfam family "6S / SsrS RNA". Rfam says of the family: E. coli 6S RNA was the first non coding RNA to be sequenced, but its function was unknown until recently. It consists of 184 nucleotides that fold into an extended hairpin structure with a large single-stranded internal bulge. The 6S RNA specifically associates with RNA polymerase holoenzyme containing the sigma70 specificity factor. The record is from RNAcentral. Lineage: Bacteria; Bacillati; Bacillota; Clostridia; Eubacteriales; Acutalibacteraceae.
UGCGGCCUGCCUGAUUCGCGGACUGCGCACAUAUAACCCUACACUCGAUUGAAAGGGAGCCCUGUCUCCGCCUGGGGAUCGCAGACCUCCCGGCACGGCUUUGACCGGUUGCUGGAGGAAGGGAGCGUGAAGCAGGAGGGGGGGCACCCACCUGCUUAUUGGUAGCAGGUUAUUGAGUUGCGCGAUACGGUCGGGCGGGCCGCUU